RNAcentral lists this small RNA (148 nucleotides) under Staphylococcus aureus. The record is from RNAcentral. Lineage: Bacteria; Bacillati; Bacillota; Bacilli; Caryophanales; Staphylococcaceae.
UGAAUGCUGGAACUUUACUUGCUGGGAUAUCAAUUUCUUUACCAGUUUGAGGGUUACGACCUUUACGUGCAGCACGUUCACGUACCUCAAAGUUACCGAAACCAAUUAAUUGUACUUUUUCACCUUUAGCAAGUGAGUUUUGGAUUGA